This 62-nucleotide transfer RNA is filed under the name Enoplolambrus validus. RNAcentral describes it as "tRNA-Arg". The record is from RNAcentral. Lineage: Eukaryota; Metazoa; Arthropoda; Malacostraca; Decapoda; Parthenopidae.
AAUUAGAAAGCGAAUAUUUGCAUUUAGUUUCGACCUAAACCUUGGUUUUCAACCUCUAAUUU